RNAcentral lists this small RNA (469 nucleotides) under Pan troglodytes (chimpanzee). Its description in RNAcentral is "retained intron". The record is from RNAcentral. Lineage: Eukaryota; Metazoa; Chordata; Mammalia; Primates; Hominidae.
GGCUGUUUGGACCUGCAUUAUUAAAAGAUCUCAGUUUAUUUAAAGACUGUGAACCUGAAAGCAUUUCUGAUUGGACUUUUGAUGAAAACUGUUUAUUCUGUUGCUUGAGAAGAGAUAAAGUAAAGGUAACUAAGAAGCCUGUGAAACUUUUAUCUAGUGUAGUAUUUUAAAGUUUUCAUCUUUUAAAACAUUGUGUUACUUUGUUGGAGGAUUUGUAGGAAAAGGAAGGUAUGGUUUCAUACUUGGUUAUGAAAGAGUUUGAUAGUAAUCCUGGGUUUUGCAAUUUAAGUUAUUUCCAUCCUGUUGAUUAGCCUAUUAAGAAACCUAUAUCCUACCAUGCAUUUAUUGUUGUUAUUUUGUUUUUUUGCUUUUUUGUUUUUUUUUUUAUAUUGAGACGGAGUCUCUCUGUGAUGCCCAGGCUGGAGUGAAAUGGCACGAUCUCUGCUCACUGCAGCCGCCGCCUCCUGGG